UAGGGGGCAAGCGUUAUCCGGAUUUACUGGGUGUAAAGGGAGCGCAGGCGGCAGGGCAAGUCAGAUGUGAAAACACGGGGCUCAACCCCGGGAGUGCAUUUGAAACUGUCCGGCUGGAGUGCAGGAGAGGCAGGCGGAAUUCCUAGUGUAGCGGUGAAAUGCGUAGAUAUUAGGAGGAACACCAGUGGCGAAGGCGGCCUGCUGGACUGUAACUGACGCUGAGGCUCGAAAGCGUGGGGAGCAAA
RNAcentral lists this ribosomal RNA (245 nucleotides) under uncultured bacterium. RNAcentral's name for it is "partial 16S ribosomal RNA". It matches the Rfam family "Bacterial small subunit ribosomal RNA", at positions 528 to 772 of the family's 1533-position model. The record is from RNAcentral.